CCUACGGGAGGCAGCAGUGGGGAAUAUUGCGCAAUGGGCGAAAGCCUGACGCAGCGACGCCGCGUGAGGGAUGAAGGUCUUCGGAUCGUUAACCUCUGUCAGCAGGGAAGAACGGUCACUGUGCUAAUCAGCAGUGAAUUGACGGUACCUGCAAAGGAAGCACCGGCUAACUCCGUGCCAGCAGCCGCGGUAAUACGGAGGGUGCGAGCGUUAAUCGGAAUUACUGGGCGUAAAGCGCGCGUAGGCGGUAUGUCAAGUCAAUGGUGAAAUCCCGGCGCUCAACGUGGGAACUGCCUUUGAAACUGGCAAACUGGAGUGUGUGAGAGGAUAGUGGAAUUCGAGGUGUAGGAGUGAAAUCCGUAGAUAUCUGGAGGAACAUCAGUGGCGAAGGCGACUAUCUGGCACAUAACUGACGCUGAGGAGCGAAAGCGUGGGUAGCAAACAGGAUUAGAUACCCGAGUAGUC
RNAcentral lists this ribosomal RNA (465 nucleotides) under uncultured bacterium. Its description in RNAcentral is "partial 16S ribosomal RNA". It matches the Rfam family "Bacterial small subunit ribosomal RNA", at positions 338 to 795 of the family's 1533-position model. The record is from RNAcentral.